AGCAAAGUUUCACGGAAUAUUGUCAAAAUCCUCUUAUGAAAAGAAUAAAAAAAAAGCCAAAAAAUGCCCCCACCAAUAACCGGGGUGUGUUCUGGCAUGCUUCUGUACAUCAGGCAUCUUCCAUAAUUUCCACCGCAACACUUGCACAAAUUUAUUAAAAUAGAGGUACGGGCACAAAUGUCAAAUAUGGGGAGUUUCUGAAUAUCACAUGUAAAUGUAAACCCAUAGAACUCGAGGGAAUUAUUUGUACAAAAUGCUGCGUUUAUUUAGUAAUGGCGAAAUCGGCCACUACAUCACAUGGGUGAAGGUGGCGUUGUAUUGCAUCAGUGUCACCCCUCAAGAGUUCGACUGCAGCGCUGCUUGUACGGAUGAAUUAUAUCAUUUCUAGCCCGAGUUUUGUAAGAUUGCGUCUGAUGGAUUACUAGAACUCGUCCAAUUGCAGAAAGGGAGGGUACAUCAGAUUUCAGAAUGUUGGAAGGUGUUUUGCACUUGUUUGCUUUUCUUUUUUAGUUUAAAAUUCUAUGACUCAUUAGUCAAAAGCGUUUAAUUGUAUUUGUAUGCCUGUGACAUAACUCUCAAUAUAGAGCUUCAGUCCAGUCAAUGUUUAAGCAUUAAAACACAGUUCACUAAUCAAUCUAGACUCAUUGGUCAAAAUGUCAUGAUUUCAAGUGCUUAAUUGGAUGCCUAUGACAUACCUCUUGAUAUAGAACUUAUGUAGAGCCUCAAAUCAAGUCAAAGUUUAAGCAUUAAACAAC
This 755-nucleotide long non-coding RNA is filed under the name Olea europaea subsp. europaea. Lineage: Eukaryota; Viridiplantae; Streptophyta; Magnoliopsida; Lamiales; Oleaceae. The record is from RNAcentral.